RNAcentral lists this ribosomal RNA (253 nucleotides) under uncultured bacterium. RNAcentral describes it as "partial 16S ribosomal RNA". It matches the Rfam family "Bacterial small subunit ribosomal RNA", at positions 524 to 776 of the family's 1533-position model. The record is from RNAcentral.
UACGAAGGGGGCUAGCGUUGCUCGGAAUCACUGGGCGUAAAGGGCGCGUAGGCGGAUCUUUAAGUCGGGGGUGAAAGCCUGAGGCUCAACCUCAGAAUUGCCUUCGAUACUGAAGAUCUCGAGACCGGAAGAGGUAAGUGGAACUGCGAGUGUAGAGGUGAAAUUCGUAGAUAUUCGCAAGAACACCAGUGGCGAAGGCGGCUUACUGGUCCGGCUCUGACGCUGAGGCGCGAAAGCGUGGGGAGCAAACAGG